RNAcentral lists this ribosomal RNA (254 nucleotides) under uncultured bacterium. RNAcentral describes it as "partial 16S ribosomal RNA". It matches the Rfam family "Bacterial small subunit ribosomal RNA", at positions 524 to 776 of the family's 1533-position model. The record is from RNAcentral.
UACGGAGGAUGCAAGCGUUAUCCGGAAUCAUUGGGCGUAAAGCGUCCGUAGGUGGUUUUUCAAGUCUGCUGUCAAAGCCUGGGGCUUAACCCCAGAUAGGCAGUGGAAACUGGGAGACUAGAGUUCGGUAGGGGUAGCGGGAAUUCCCAGUGUAGCGGUGAAAUGCGUAGAUAUUGGGAAGAACAUCGGUGGCGAAGGCGCGCUACUGGGCCGAAACUGACACUCACAGGACGAAAGCUAGGGGAGCGAAAGGG